CUCUUUCUUGCAAUGGGCUCUGUAAAGCUCACUAGCUGCUAAGUAAGGGGCAUGAGGCUAUUCCUGAAGGUGGGUGACUUUAACAUAGUUCUAUUAGGCUAAACUCUGACAUAACAAAGACCAUUAGAAUAGGCAGGGUUGAAGCAAACAGUGACACCUUUAUUUCAGUCUGGGUAUGGCUGGGUAAAGGAUGCAAAGGCUAUUGGCCCAAACAAAGGAAGAGGAUAUGCUGUACAGGGGAGUUUAGGCAGGGGAGGGGGUCCUGUCGAGGAAGAUAGAAACUUUUAGGAACAGAACAAAGUGCAAGACAACAAACAGCGUGAACCCAGCCAUGGUCAGCAAGCUUGUCAUUAGACCAUGGAGAAAUGCCCAGGACUCUUGUUAGAACACUUACAGUGGCAAAGUUCCCUUAACCCAACUUGUGUCAUAAUGAAGCUCUGAAAAUUGAAAGAAAGCAAAAAUGUCUUUAUGACUGUGGUGGAGUCCCAGCUCAGCUCGGCUGAGGGCUCUCAGCUAAAUCACAUCACUGUGGAGGACAAAGCAGAUGAGCAUGGCAGGAGUGCAUGUGGGAAGCAGGACUACAUCUCAAGUAUGGUGACAGAGAGAGCCGGAGGCAGCCAGGACAGGAGCAGGCAUUAAUAACAACUCACUCUCCUGAGGACUUAUGCCAGGGGACUGGUAUUCUCUUCCUAGGAGAUCUGGACCUGUCGUCUUGGCCUGUUGAUUGCUUUGAGCUGAAGGCACCUGAGACACAGCAGGCACAAGAAGGGCUUUCUGACAUUCUCUUUUCCGUCUAAAAGCAGGCCAUACAGUUUCCCCUAAGAGAAGUGCCCUGCCUGGACCAGGAAGAGAAGAACACUCAUCUUCACAAGCUAAGGAAUCAAGGCUAAAACAGACCUGCACAAACAAACUUACUAAAAUAACUCUUCUAGUCUGUGAGUUUCUUUCAACGUGGUUCUUUAUCAUGUGCCCCUAGUUCACUACCCUUAGCUGAAUGCACCUAACCUCUUCUCCUUCAGAAAUGCAUCAUUUCUUUAUUUAAAAGAUAUCUGAACAGUCUCACCUGGUUACUCCUUUGGGAGUAACAUGUCAUUGGUGAGGACUUCCCUGUACAUGGGAAAGUCUGGCAAAGC
Molecule: long non-coding RNA, 1133 nt
Filed under: Chinchilla lanigera (long-tailed chinchilla)
Lineage: Eukaryota; Metazoa; Chordata; Mammalia; Rodentia; Chinchillidae
Description: lncRNA (ENSCLAG00000028797.1)
Source: RNAcentral